AUACUUACCUGGACGGGGUCAAUCGGUGAUCAUGUGGGCCGAUGGCCUAGGGUGGCUGCCUUCAUUGCACUUAGAGGGUGGGUCCCCCUAGCAUCUCCCCAAGUGGGAGAAUGCACGUCAUAAUUUGUGGUAGGGGGGUACGCGUUCGCGCGGCCCCCAC
RNAcentral lists this small nuclear RNA (160 nucleotides) under Amborella trichopoda. Its description in RNAcentral is "snRNA U1". It matches the Rfam family "U1 spliceosomal RNA". Rfam says of the family: U1 is a small nuclear RNA (snRNA) component of the spliceosome (involved in pre-mRNA splicing). Its 5' end forms complementary base pairs with the 5' splice junction, thus defining the 5' donor site of an intron. The record is from Rfam by way of RNAcentral. Lineage: Eukaryota; Viridiplantae; Streptophyta; Magnoliopsida; Amborellales; Amborellaceae.